RNAcentral lists this ribosomal RNA (497 nucleotides) under uncultured bacterium. RNAcentral's name for it is "partial 16S ribosomal RNA". It matches the Rfam family "Bacterial small subunit ribosomal RNA", at positions 28 to 507 of the family's 1533-position model. The record is from RNAcentral.
GAUGAACGCUGGCGGCGUGCCUAAUACAUGCAAGUCGAGCGAACGGACGAGAAGCUUGCUUCUCUGAUGUUAGCGGCGGACGGGUGAGUAACACGUGGAUAACCUACCUAUAAGACUGGAAUAACUUCGGGAAACCGGAGCUAAUACCGGAUAAUAUUUUGAACCGCAUGGUUCAAAAGUGAAAGACGGUCUUGCUGUCACUUAUAGAUGGAUCCGCGCUGCAUUAGCUAGUUGGUAAGGUAACGGCUUACCAAGGCAACGAUGCAUAGCCGACCUGGGAGGGUGAUCGGCCACACUGGAACUGAGACACGGUCCAGACUCCUACGGGAGGCAGCAGUAGGGAAUCUUCCGCAAUGGGCGAAAGCCUGACGGAGCAACGCCGCGUGAGUGAUGAAGGUCUUCGGAUCGUAAAACUCUGUUAUUAGGGAAGAACAUAUGUGUAAGUAACUGUGCACAUCUUGACGGUACCUAAUCAGAAAGCCACGGCUAACUACGUG